Non-coding RNA from Pelobates cultripes (western spadefoot toad), 966 nucleotides. Lineage: Eukaryota; Metazoa; Chordata; Amphibia; Anura; Pelobatidae. The record is from the annotation of a GenBank genome assembly.
CACGUCCUGUUCCUGCUGCGGAUCAUUUCUGGCUAUGGCUUCUGGUAUCCAGUACUCUUUUUACAAUUCUUGUUUAGUUUUUCUUGUUUUUUCUGGUUCUCUAUUCCAUAUCUGGUUUUCUUUAUGCUGGGCUUUCUGGGUUCAUUCCUGGAUUCCGUUCCUGGAAUUCUCAGUCUCUUGGAUUCCUUUAAAUGUUUGUUUUAUGUUGCCACACCCUUUCCUUUUCCAGCAGGCAGUUGCUCCAAGUCCUCUGCCCCUUUCUUGCAGGUAAGUGCUGUGUGUGUUUUAUUAUUGUUUAUUUAGUCAUGCAUAUCUAGGCAGUCUAGGACCCACAGUAAUUGGAGUAAUUUGGCGCAGUGGUGGGCUGCAUACAUCUUGACCAUUUAUGUAUGUCUAAAUCUCCAAUGUGUAUUACACAUGUUAGUACUUAGUUAUGUCUCCGCUUGUUUUGCCUUAUAUCUCUUGUCUUGUUUUAAUUUGUCUUUCCAGUUCAUGUACAGUCCUGUCCCGUCCAUGCCUUGUUCUGGUUUCCCUCAUGUCUUGUGUACAUGUUCUGGACUCUGCUUUCUGUCCUUCUCCGGUUCUGGGUUCGUCUAGUCUAGUCUAGUCUUGUAUUAUUUUGUUUGGUGCCUGUUCUAGUCUUGCCUUGUUUCUAGUACUGGAUACAUAUCUGCUGUAGAGCUUCCCUAUCCACAUCCUGGGAGGUCUGCAUAUUUUCUCCUAGUUCCUGGGAUCCACAGAAGCUGCAUCAGGGCCCUGGUAUGUAGCCACACAAACCCUGGUGCUCAACACCACGGGGCGUGUGGUUACCCUGCACCAGGCCCGGAUUGUUUCAUCCACGACGUUGACUCCGAUCAUCAUCAGGCACACAGGGGUCCUGGUCUCCGUACCGCUAUCCGUGACAAUAGGGGGUUGGCUAGAUUUCCAAUUACGAGCUGUGGUUAUCUUAGAUGCAAAAAGAAUAUG